UGCGCAGGCGGGGAUGUAAGUCAGUGGUGAAGUACUGCCGCUUAACGGUAGAACUGCCAUUGAUACUGCAUCUCUUGAGUAUGGUUGAGGUAGGCGGAAUGUGUUGUGUAGCGGUGAAAUGCAUAGAUAUGACACAGAACGCCAAUUGCGAAGGCAGCUUACUAAGCCAUUACUGACGCUGAGGCACGAAAGCGUGGGGAGCGAACAGGAUUAGAUACCCUGGUAGUCC
RNAcentral lists this ribosomal RNA (229 nucleotides) under uncultured bacterium. RNAcentral describes it as "partial 16S ribosomal RNA". It matches the Rfam family "Bacterial small subunit ribosomal RNA", at positions 568 to 796 of the family's 1533-position model. The record is from RNAcentral.